Molecule: long non-coding RNA, 9786 nt
Filed under: Nicotiana tabacum (common tobacco)
Lineage: Eukaryota; Viridiplantae; Streptophyta; Magnoliopsida; Solanales; Solanaceae
Description: long non-coding RNA (NTAB_LNC007896)
Source: RNAcentral
ACUUUUUGAAUUGGUUCUCACUAUUUUGCUUUGCAAGCCUUUGAAGAUGUGGAGGAUGAGGUCUUGGCAUUGGUGCCUUAACCUUCGGCACUACCAGUUCCGGCAUGUCAAUCAUGUGUUCCCUAGACGGGUUCACUUCUUCUUGCGUCUCCUCCACACUUUCAUCAAUAUCAAUUCUCACUUCUUUGUUAGCUUGAACCACAUUGCUUGGGAUUUCAUCUUAUUGAACCAUAACAUCUUCAUCCCUAAUCCUUCUUUGGUUUGAGGUGGUUGCAUCUCCACCUUUUCCACUUCUAGUAGUCAUGGCCAUAGCAUGUACCGUAUUAUUCCCACCCUUCGGGUUCACCACCGUAUCAUUGGGUAGUGCCCCCUUAGGACGAGUGUUCAAAGCUUGUGAGAUCUGGCCUAGUUGAACCUCCAAAUUGCAGAUUGAAGUAUUGUGAGAGGCUAAUUGAGCAUCGGAGUCAGUAUUCUUCUCCAUCAUCUAUUUAAACAUGUUCUCAAUUCUGCCCAUCUCAUUGUUAGAAGAUAUCGGACCUUGAGAAGGAUAAGGAGGUGGAUUGUUCGGUUGUUGGAACAUCGGGGCCUUUGCAAACCCGGCCACCGGUUGUUGUUGUUGUUCCAUCCUCCUUGAUUAUUAUCACCCCAAUUGCUUUAAUUAUUGCCACCCCAAUUGCCUUGAUGAUUACCUCUCCAAUUGCCUUGGUUACCUUGAUUAUUCCAAUUGCUUUGAUUAUUGUUACCACCACUCCAAUUGCCUUGGUGGCCUUGGUUGUUCCAAUUUCCUUGUGACCGCCAUUAUUGUUGAUUUUGUCCUUGAGCAUUGUUUCUUUGGCCUUGAUAAUUAUUGACAUAUUGAACUUCUUCUUCUUGCUCAUUGAACGAAUUACCUUGAUCAUAACCACUAUCAUCUUGCAUGAAUUGUUCCAGACGACUUUGCAUUUGUUGACCUUGUUGCCAUCUCUUGUUCAUCAUCAUAUUUACACAUUCCAUUGUAUUCACUUGUUUUGGCCAUUGAACUUGUUGAAGCUGCUUUGACCAAUUGGUUCAUUGUAGUUGUCAACUCGGCAAUAGCUUGCCCAUGAUCCUGUAGUUCAUUGUGUAGGUGAAUGACAUUAGGGUCAGCUUGAGGAACAUUGGCUUCACUUUGCCAUGCCGAUGAGGUAUCCGCCAUCUCAUUAAGAAUUUCACAAGCUUCGGUAUCGGCGAGUUGAUUUAUCAUACAUUGAUUUGUUGUGUUGAUCCCCCUGUAUAAGGUUUGUUGGAUCAUGGCCUCGGUCAUAUUAUUAUUCGGGCACUCUUUGACCAUGGUACGAUAUCUUUCCCAAAUCUCAUGCAAUGGCUCAUUGGGUUCUUGCUUGAAUGCAAGAAUCUCAUCCUGAAGUGCCACCAUAUGUUCUGGAGAGAAGAAUUUGGCAAUGAAUUUUUCUGUCAACUCAUCCAAAGUGUGGAUGGAAUGAUUGAGAAAUCUCUCUAACCAGUCCAAUGCCUUUCCCUGUAGAGAAAAGGAAAAAAGCCUCAACCGCAGCGCAUACUCGGAGACAUUUGUUUGCUUGCUCCCCCAACAAGUAUCGACGAACCUCUUGAGAUGCUUGUAGGCAUUUUGACUCCGAGCCCCGAUGAAGAAUCCCUGUUGGUCAAGUAGUGUAAGCAUCACAUUGGUGAUUUAAAAGUUAUCUGCCCUAAUACGGGGCGGGACUAUAGCACUUUCAUAACCCUCGUUCGGUAAUUGUCGGUGAGCUACUGCUCUUGGUGGAAGUGGGGGAGGGAUGGGAACAUUGUCUUGAGGCGGGCGGCCUCGUCUAUUUGCUUGAGGUUCAAGAGGAACCUCAUCCAUUUGGUCAUCAUCCACGUCCUCCCCCAUCGGCAAAUUCCCAAUGGGCUCGUUGUUGAGAGCCAUUUUCGUACCUAAAUCAAUUCAAAAAUAAAAUUUGUGACUCGGAAGGAAAAGAAGACAAUUUACACAAAAACCUAAAUAUAUAGCUAAAUCCGUUUAACUCCCCGGCAACGGCGCCAAAAAUAUUUGUCGCCCAAACUCACACCACAAAUAUAGGUAGUGAGGCGGUCGAAGCAAUAAUAAAAUCCAACGCGAGUCGAGGUCGAAUCCAUAAGGAGUUAGAACUGGGAUUAGGUAUAUAUUUAGUGUAAUUGUAUGAUGUGCCUCAAAUUACACUUUCACAUUCUUGUUUGUUGUUUCUAUUUCUACUUUGAGCUAUUGAUUGCAAUUAUAAAACUAGAAGAUAAUAUUUUGGUUGUUUUUCAAAUGAUAAAAGAUUUAGGGUCGUGACUUCCACCUAGGUAGUUACCUAACCUAGGUUGUAAACUCUAGGGAAAGUUUGAUUAGUCGAGGUUGUAAUAUAGCAAUCACACGCAAUUACCUACUCUAUACCUCUCGGUAGUUUGAGUGAUUUUGCCCAAUUUGACUUUUUCAAGUCCAAAUAGGUAUUGCACAAAACAAGUGAUAUAUACUCAAGUCGGGUCUUACUAUCUCUAGAUUUGACCCUUUAAUUGGGGCUAUCAAUUUUUUGAGUUCACCCCAAUUUCUUGUUAUCCAAAUAUUCCUAGACUUAGUCUCUCUUUCUCAAGUAGAGACUAAGUCAAAUAGGCAUGAAUUAAUGUUUGCAACCAUUAAUUCUUGAAUUCAAGCAUGAACUUGGCUAAAUAUCACUAGCCCAAUCACAAACAAGCCCUAAAUCAAAUACCCAUUAAGUACUCACAUUAGGGUUGGGCCACAACCCUAUCUAGAAAUUUAGUUACUCAUGAAAAAUGAAGAAUCUAAAGAAAAAAUUAAGAUAUAAUGCAUAAUAAUUGAUUAGGGAAAGAAAUUCUAAUGUUUAGAAACUAAUCUAGUACAAUAUUACUCAAAACAGUAAAGAAAACAGCUCAGGUGCUCUCCCAAAACUAAACUUAACCUAAAAAUGACAAAAAGUUCUAUUUAUACUAAGCUAAAAAUAUCUGACGAAAAUGCCCCUGCGGAGGUUGUGCGACCGCACAAUAAUGUGUGUGGUUCGCAUAAAUAGACUUGGCUUGACAGGUUCUAUCUCUAAGGCUGCACAAUUCUGGGUUGCGGCCGCACUCCUUCUUCUUGUGCGGACCGCACAUUUGUGAGUGUGGUCGCACUCUUGCUUCUGCGGCCGCACAAUUUUAGUGUGGUCCGCACUCCUUGACUUUUGACUUGAACUCAGCUCUCUGAUUCUUCUCUUCUGCGGACCGCACAAUUGUGAGUGCAUUCGCACUUGCCAUCCAGCGGCCGCACAAUUAUGGUGUGGUCUGCAUAUCUUCAGCUUGCCCAAAACCAACUCUCUGAAUCUCCUCUUCUACGGCCGCACAAUAUUUGUGCGGUCCACAUAAUCUGAAGAAAAACUGACAUGUCUCUUUUCUUGUUCUGCGGCCGCACACAGUAUUGUGCGGUCCACAUUGUGGGCCUUUUUACCUUAUUUUGGUCCUUGUCCACUUUUGACUCCUUUAAGAGUUGAUUUUGAUUUCUUUGGCUCAUAUUUCAACACUCCUGCAAGCAAGCACAUUUCAUUAGUUUUCAGAAAUAUUUUAAAGCAUUUUUUAGCUAAAAUGCAAGUAAAAAAGAGCAAAUAAGCAGUUAAAAUCCCUACUUAUCAGUCGCGUCAGCAGAAUUAGCCAAAACGUCCUCCUCGGAGAUGGCAAUUGAGCCCUUCGGUAGACCUGAGUUCAACAAGAGUAGAAGGUUAAUCAGUUUUCUUAUACGAAAGAAAAAAAACAAGAUUAGUUCAACCUACCAUGAUUCUUGGCCUUCCACUCAUAUUUAAGGGCUAGUUCUUUCCAUGUAUGGGUCUAGUUCUUUCCACGUAUGGGUCUCGGACAUAGUGACAUCCAAAAUCUUUUGGACCUAUUGGUCCAAGCCUUCAAUCCUCAGUGGAGUCCACUGAAUUGCUGAAAUAAGUGAAAGAAGAGGAAUCGGUAACAACAUGGGGUGAUCUUUAACUAGAAGAAGAGACAAACGAUGAACUUACCCUAUAUAUACCAGUUCACUUACCCUAUAUUGUAGGUUAUUAGUUAAGGUUUGUCAAACAAAGUUACGUGUAAUUAUUUUUUAAAUAGCCUGAUCGUGUAUAUAUGCACGGACAAUGGUUAAAUUUCAUUAUGGCAUUCAAUAAUUUUCUUUGGUUCAAAGUUGAGUUUUUUUUUUUUGUGGGUUUCCGGAGCGAUAGAGCUAAUGUAAUAUCGUAAGGGGUAAAAUAUGUUCAUACUUUAAUGAUCGCAUGAGAAAGAGACACGUGAAAGCGAAGACAGAAGACAGUCGGGCCCGAAGGCAAUAAUUUUGCUUGUUGUCGGAGAGAAUGAUAUUUAUAAAGGCAAAAUAAAUGUCUGUCACUCGGUAGUAUUUAAUAAAGAAUAUUCUACAGCAUUAAGUGCAUAGUCCAUUACAGAUAUUAUGGCAUUCACUGCCUACCGUUACACAUUCUUCAAUAGCCCUCAUAAUUGUCAUUUAAGAGGGGCUUGAUCCUAGGACCUUGUUCCAUAGGUGCAACUAUAAAUAGUGAGCUCUACCAUCAUUGUAAGAUAGACGAAUUUUCUGACAAGCAUACAAUUUGUUCAAAUCUAAAUAGCAUUUUACUUUCUUGCGUAUUUAUAUUGCUCUUACUGCUUCCCGAAGUUCUACUCCCGGGCUCAAGAUCUCUAUUGUCCUAUCUCGAUUUCAACGUUAAUUCUUAUAUUUUUGUCUAAUUUAUUUAUUAAUUUAGGAUUAGAUCGACUCUCUUGUCUAUAAAUUACGUAUAAAUUCAGUUGUAUUAUUUUACGGGUAAACAAUAUCAAGUCACCCCAACAGAAGUAAUGCUAGCUUUUAUUCACGGGCGUAAACACACCAACAAAAAAAAUUGUAAUUAACCAGCCAGGAAGGAAAAGUAAACAUCGGUGACUUAAAAAAACGAUAUACACGUUGUGGAAGUUUGGGGUUAUGGUGUCUAUAUACAAAAAAUGUAGAUAAGUAGUUUUCAAGAAAAUGAUAUGAGAGAUGAAAAUGUAACAAAUAUAAUUAAAAUUGAAUUCAAAUAGGAAGUUCAGAAAUGAUCAUGUUGUACUUAAGAUAAUGUGAUGAUUUGAUAAUUGAAUAUGGUAAACAGGGACUACGCAGACCUAAUAUUAUAUGGACGUAAAUUGUUUCGAAACAUCUACAAUCUUUUAAAAAACACUGUAAAGAUAUAAAGUAAUUAGCCGUUUCUCUUCCAUUAUCAUCUGCUUAGCCCUUUCUCUUCCAUUAUCCCUCACUGUAAUUAGAAAAAAAAAUGUAAAAGAAAAUGUGGAAGUAGCCAAAAACAAAACGUGGUUGAAAUAGAUAUGAUCCAUAUCCGGCAAUACCAACAAAUUAGGAUAAAGACUUGCUCAGUGUUGUCACGAGUCUUUUCUAUUCGAUUAGAAACUUCUAUAUUAGUAUAAUGAAUAAUUGUGAGAUUUUAGGAAGCACUUAUAGAAAACCCAUGUACGUAUUAAAAGAAAUAGUUUGAUAUUGAAUAAAUUAAAUGUGCUAGAUCAAAAUGGAAUAUAACACGUAUGCCAUAUAUCCAAUUCCAGCAAAUUUGAUGACUAAUAAUAGCACUAAACAUGUCGUUUGGAAUGAAUCAAUUGGGAUAUUUCUAGGAAGCUUCUGAAGAUGCACUUGUACGAUCACUAAAAGGGUACAGUUGGUUGGAUCAAAUAUUCACUUAAACAAUGAUGUUGUAUAGCCUUUUGCUCUAGUUCAACGCCAUUCUUAUCCUAUCCUAUAAGUUCAUGUACAGUUUACACGCUUCCAAUUGAAAAAAUAAUUGGUAGGAUGUUUCUUUUUGCAAAUACUCAAGUUGCGUUUGUGAUAAUUGCCUGUUUCACUUAUCAGCAGCUACUCCUGUUAUUGUAGUCUAGCUGUACACAAUAACCAUUUAAUGUAAUUUUCAUGUAUUGGCAUCACACACAUCAUAAAAAUAUCCUCUAAACUAUGUAGCACUUAUUUGGUUGAUCAUUACUCACUUAUCAUAUUUGUUUUAACUAGUGUUUCUACAUAAUUUUAAGAUUAUAAAAAGUGUAUAAAAUAAUAUUAUCACGUCAGAAGUGGAAACCAGACUUAUUUAUAUCAUGUCUCACCAUACCUCUCGUCAACGUUUCCACUUUGAUAAGAGUUAAGAAUACAGAUAAAAAAGUGCAACUCGGUACACAAAAUCCCUGCGUCCGGGAAGAGAGCACCCCCAAAGAGUGUAAGAUACGCAGACGGCACUCCAAAGCUCCCCUUCAAUUAAGAGUACAGAUACAUAUAUUAUUUUUUGUACUAAUUUAUAUUCACAUCAUGUAGAAUAAAAAGGAGCUACACUCCCAACCAAAAAUUUCUCCAUUCCCAAAGCACAAACUCGAAACUCAUAAUUGAGAAUGAGGUAACCUCGCUCACUCAUAAUUGAGAAUGAGGUAACCUCGCUCAUCGAACCAGUCUAGUACCAAUCUCGCAACAGUAUUGGCGCAAAAGGAUCGGUCAGCCUCUGGCGACACGUAAGUAAAGGUUCAUAUCUAAACACACUUCUUUGAGGCCCAAGGACCAAUGACAUAGGGUAUACAGUCUAACCGUGGACAAUUUUAUUCAUUUAAUGGAGUACUAUUUUACCCUUUAACUUAAAUCUUCGGCUAUCAAAAGUAUUUUCAAUUUCUACAGACUUGCAGCUUUCUCAUAAAGUAAUUUCAAGCAAAAUAUUUUGAUAGGAGUUCACAUUCUAAAACAGAUACAAUAAUAAAAUACCGUAACAUGAGCGAAUAAUACGUUUGACAUGCAGGUACCCAGCUAUCACAUCUUAGCGCACACAGAAUCCAAAUAAUUCACAUUUAACUAGUUCACAUAGAAACUGAAUACUUCAUUACAUGGGCAGAUAUCAUCUAAUGUUCACCAUUCCCGCACUAGCAGCAAGCAGGAAUCCCAAUAGAAAAUUGCACUUCCCUGAGAUGUCAGUAGGCCAUGUCUUCCUGCGAGUCAAAGAAGUCAAACAAUUGCGGCAAUAUUAUCAAAUGAGAAAUUAAUAUUACCUACAUAGCAUGUGGAUCUUAUUGCAACCUUACCAGAGCAACACAAGCAGAAGCAUACCCUUCAUCAUCAGUAGUCAUAUUCACGAGAAUGUGACCUAUCUGAACGCCUAUGAUCACGGUCCCUUUCUUUUGUCUCAGAUGCUCCGUGGUCAUAAGCAUAAUUAUCUUCCUCCAUUUGAUCAUAACGAUCAUCACCACGACUGGUAUCUUUAUAGCGAUCAUCACCAGCUUGAGCAUCUGGAUUCUCAUAGUCUCCUCGGCCUUGAUGAUGAUCAUAAUGGUCAUAAUGUCCAUGAUCAUCUUCAGGUUCUGCAUGAUCAUAGUUCCUUUCCCUGUCACCAUGCCUUUCCCGCUCAUGUUUAGAUUCACCAUGCUCAUAAUCAUAUUCUCUAUCACGAGAACGCCCACGACCCUGGUCCCCCUCACCUUCAUAGUCCUUACCUCUUUCCCUAUCCCUCUCACGGUGGCGAUCUCGCUCACGGUCCCUAUCUUUGCCCCGUUCGCGGUCACGUGUCCUGUCACGUUCACGGUCUCGAUCGCGGUCUCGUCCACGAUCUCUUUCUCUAUCCCUAGUUCUCUCGCGUUCCUUAUGAUGUUUGUCAUCUCUGUCGCGUUCCCUUGGCCUAUCAUGUGAACGUUCACGAGAUUUUUCUCUAUCUCUAUCUCGCACCCUAUCACGGGACUUCUCCCGAUCCCUGAUAAUAUGGAAAAUAAUAAUAUUAACUUCACAAUUUGUAAACUAAACAGGGUUGUAAAUCAGACAACUCAUCCUUGGAAAAGUAUAUAUAUGUCUGCAUGUCAGAUUGAGAGAAAAGAACACAAAGCACGUAUAACUAUAAAUGCAUAGGUUACCUUUCUCUGUCAUCUCGUACUCUUGGCUCUUCGGAGCGAGAUGCCGCCCUUCCAAUCUGAACUACCUCUCUGCAAAAUUAAAGGGGCAUAGAGUCAAUGAUAAUUAAAUAUCCAUGUAAAAAUUGAAGGCAAUAACUUACCAAGAAAGAUUGAUGAAUGUUCCACAAAUUUUCACAUGACAAUCAUACCAGUACAUCUGAGCAAUGAAAACUACUUUUCAGACAUUUUAUGAGUGAUCAUCAUGCUGAAUGCCAAACAAUAAUAACUUCCAAUUGUAGACAAGAUUUCAUGCAUAGAUGCUCCGGACAGCACUCUUUUUUUCAACCAAAAAUAGAGCAACAUAAACUGACUGCAGCAUCUAUACAUCCCAAAAGACAAGUUGAAAUUCAGAAGCAGUCUAUGUCGACUACAAGCACACAUGCAUAGUUAUCUCUGGCAGCCAUUAUUGCAGAGAACAGGAGACAUUUGCAUUGGAAUUUUUACUCCAUGGACAAUGGCAGCCAUUAUUGCAUAAAGUACAGCUACAUCAAGGUCCUUUUUAGCACUUCGCAUAUGUACAUACGACUAACACUCUAAAAGCUAAUCGAGUACCUAUUAACAUCUUCAGUUCCAACUCUUGUUGUUCCAAGUCCACCGCCAAGUCUGCGGGGACGCCAAUUGGGGACUGUUCUCCCACGUUCAACAUCAACCAGAACUCUUCUAUUAUCAAUCUUCUUUCCAUCAGCUUGUUUAUAAGCAGCUGAAGUUAUAUCCAAGGAAUUAGAAAUGGAAGUGAGACGGAAAAAGACAAAGAAAAAUAGGAGUCGAGUAAGAGAAACCUUUCAUAUCCCGUGUAUGCACAUACUCAAUGAAAGCAUAACCCCUGGGCUUAUUGUUUGUAUUGUCCGUAACCAGACGAACCUGAAACUCAAACAAUUAUGAAAUUAACACUACUAAUAAGAAUUAUAAUCAUGUUUGAUGCAGCGGUCAAAAAAGUUAUGCUUUUAUCCUGUCAACACGAUUAGGUACAGUAAGGUCCUAAUGGCACGGCAGGCACUAUGCCUAAUUAGCCGUGCUCACCUUUGAUUCAUAGAGCUCCCAGGCGAGAUGCAUCACCAUCACUGCUAGAGUUGCACAAGAACUGUGGCCUUAUGUUUGCAAUACAUUCUAACUCCCCUUACCAGGGAACAUUUUUUAAUAUAAAAUAAAUUAUUAUAGAAGUAUAGUCAAAUACCAGGUGUCUCCUGAAAUGCUUGAAACUUUUUUGAUAGCCUUUGAAUCCAAAAGUAAAAUCUUAGUAACAUAGAUGGGAUGUAAGAAGAAUAAAGAAGAAGAGAACAAGGCUGAUACUCCCACCAAAUUUUUACCCAGCACAGGCAAGUAUAUCUCCACUGUUGCUUGGAAUAAGAGGCCAAAGGUAAAUUGCAUCAUUGCUCUGCUCAUCUAGGUGUUCAACUUUGUUUCAUGCAAUGAAGAUCGGGCUCGGAAAUUGAAUGGUUACAUUUGGCAACUCAAGAAACAAAAAGUUACCAGAAAUUUAAGAUUUGCCCUUACCAGGAGAAUACCUAGGAGUUGAACCUCAUUACCUUUGUAGUUCUAGAAACUAAUGGAAUACCCAGAACACAUAGUACUUGAAACUAAUGAUAUCCAAACCAGGAUAAAAGGAAAAGUCAUCAAACUGAUUCUCAAUAAUUGGAGCCACUGUUACCUGAGUCAUAAGGACAUUCUGACCCUUAUUUUUCAAAACAAGGAAAUGCUAGUAACUUCGCAACAAAUUUUCAUGAAUGUCAGAGUGCAGCAUGCACCUUGAAGCACCAUGGAAGAGUGCUAGCAGUUCAAACAACAAUUCAUUUCUUAACUGCAACCUGAAGAGGUGCACCCAGAGGCACAAUUGAAAGAAAAAGCUCUUCUGAUAAAAUGUGGAUUUGCAAACUUGUAGCA